UUUAAAGAGAGUUUGAUCCUGGCUCAGGACGAACGCUGGCGGCGUGCCUAAUACAUGCAAGUCGAACGAACGGAGGAAGAGCUUGCUCUUCCAAAGUUAGUGGCGGACGGGUGAGUAACACGUGGGCAACCUGCCUGUAAGUUGGGGAUAACUCCGGGAAACCGGGGCUAAUACCGAAUGAUAGAAUGUGGCGCAUGCC
RNAcentral lists this ribosomal RNA (199 nucleotides) under Listeria monocytogenes. Its description in RNAcentral is "partial 16S ribosomal RNA". It matches the Rfam family "Bacterial small subunit ribosomal RNA", at positions 1 to 194 of the family's 1533-position model. The record is from RNAcentral. Lineage: Bacteria; Bacillati; Bacillota; Bacilli; Caryophanales; Listeriaceae.